GACGAACGCUGGCGGCGUGCCUAAUACAUGCAAGUCGAGCGAAGCGGCGGAUGGGUGAGUACCGCGUGGGUAACCUGCCCUUCAGUCUGGGAUACCAUUUGGAAACAGAUGCUAAUACCGGAUCCUAAAGGAUGGACCUGCGAUGCAUUAGCUAGUGGGUAAGGUAACGGCUUACCAAGGCGAUGAUGCAUAGCAGGGUGGAGAGACUGAUCGGCAACAUGGGGACUGAGACACGGCCCAGACUCCUACGGGAGGCAGCAGUAGGGAAUCUUCCACAAUGGACGAAAGUCUGAUGGAGCAACGCCGCGUGUGUGAAGAAGGUUUUCGGAUCGUAAAGCUCUUUUAUUGGGGAAGCGGUAAUCAACCAGAAAGUCACGGCUAACUACGUGCCAGCAGCCGCGGUAAUAC
Molecule: ribosomal RNA, 408 nt
Filed under: uncultured bacterium
Lineage: Bacteria
Description: partial 16S ribosomal RNA
Rfam family: Bacterial small subunit ribosomal RNA
Source: RNAcentral